UGUUAAUUGUUGUUGUUAAAUCAAAAACCAUAGUUACUACACUUUUGCUAUAAUAAAACCAUUUUUAUACAUUUUUAUGAAGGUCUGUCCAUUUAGAACAAAAUGUGCAUGCAUGUUUAUGUAGAAAUAAUUGAACACACCCCCGGAUAAGGAUCUUAAAAGCUAUGCUUUAAAGCACAACAUUUCUGUUUAUUUUAAUACAAUAAAUAUUUAAUGUUAAACAAGUUCUAAUUUUCAGUCCGUCUGAACGCAGUGCUUCGCUAUGAGAAGCACUUUCUUUACCAUCUUUAUUGUUUUUUAACAUGUUGUCUUUUGUUAUGUGUUAUUAGGCAUGUUCGACUUCAUGAAGCGCUGCGAGAACCCACAUCAUACGUUGAUGACGUCAACGUAUCGCGAGACUGAGUCGAGAAAUUACACGUAGAGGUCUAAUUUCGAAUCGCUCUCGCGGUACAUUGACGUCAUCAUCCUGUCAGCGCCGCAUGAAGUCGAACACACCUAUUAUUUGCGGGCACGCGCCUCCGUCCUCGUGAGUUCAAAAAACUGAAUUUAACCGAUGUUUACCUCAGACGACAGUUUUCGUUUCUGUGAUAAAUUCUGAGGUAAUUUUCUUGUUGUGUUUGAUGUUUUCCAUUGGCUGAAGAAUGCUGUGACAAAAAAGCAACCAGGACACCACAUCUGCAGUGACAGAGAGCAGGAUGGGGGAGGAAUCAGAAGGACCAGAAGAUAAUAUCAACUGGUGCCCCUGAGGAGAUUCACAUUGUUCUGUUUCUUUUGUUUAGUAAUAAGUGGUUUUAUGUGAUUUUGUAAAAUAAAAGAAAUUUAGUAUUCAAUCCACAUGUUUUGCACAUAAUUUUCUAUAUUUUACUUCCAUGUAUUUACAGCCAGGGUGCCUAUUUAUUGCCCAAUGUGCCCACACGUUGCCCACAGUUAGCCCAAACUUUGCCCAGUGUGCCCACAUUAAACCCACACUUUGUCCACAGUAAGCCCACACUUUGCCCAGUGUACCCACAGUUAGCCCACACUUUGCCCACAGCCCACACUUUGCUCAAUGUGCCCACAGUUAGCCCACACUUUGCCCAAUGUGCCCACAGUAAGCCCACAGUUAGGCCAUAAU
Molecule: non-coding RNA, 1114 nt
Organism: Misgurnus anguillicaudatus (oriental weatherfish)
Lineage: Eukaryota; Metazoa; Chordata; Actinopteri; Cypriniformes; Cobitidae
Source: RefSeq, a predicted model, not a curated record